This 53-nucleotide non-coding RNA is filed under the name unclassified sequences. Its description in RNAcentral is "Li+-I sequence". It matches the Rfam family "nhaA-I RNA". Rfam says of the family: Acidobacteria, Alphaproteobacteria, Betaproteobacteria and Gammaproteobacteria, Verrucomicrobia, cand. division NC10. Downstream gene The record is from Rfam by way of RNAcentral.
GGGUGUUCGCCAGUCGUGGCGGGCAGGGUGCAGCGCUGGUCGGGCCGCCGGCG